AAUCUAAAUCGUUAUCUUGAACUGAUUUUUCUUAAAUCUGUUGAAGGUAAACAUUCUUCCUUGAAACUGUAUGGAAAAAGAUAUAUUAGCAAUUCUUCUUCUAAUCAUAAACAUUGAAUUCUAGAUAGUCCUUUGGUAUACAGAGAAUUUAUUUCUUCAUACUGUUACUUCAGAAGUGGCUAAGAAUAGAAGAUGGUACAAAACAGGAAAAUUGUGGCUUGCUAUCUGAUCUUUUAAUGCACAGGAAAAAAUUAAAAAUCUUCAUCUUCCUUCCUCUUGUCACAUACUUUAAUUCUCAAGAAAUUGAAUAAGUAUUUUUCUUAAUAAACUGAGUCAAAUGGAAACUUUGUAAUUAAAGACAAGGUGAAGCUGCCCGCUUGUUAAUACACAGAAAUUUUUCUUUUUUUAUUAACAUCAGUUAAUGGGAUUAAACUGAUUUAAGGGACUGCUUUGAGGGAAAGAAUUCUAUUUUAAAUUUAUAUAUGUAACUGUUUAAUAAAACUAAAGUCAGACAGAAUCUAACAAAACUGAACAAUAAAUUGCCUUCUUGUUGCUUCCAUAA
RNAcentral lists this long non-coding RNA (562 nucleotides) under Bos taurus (domestic cattle). Its description in RNAcentral is "long non-coding RNA NONBTAT023108". The record is from RNAcentral. Lineage: Eukaryota; Metazoa; Chordata; Mammalia; Artiodactyla; Bovidae.